UUUCCGUAGGUGAACCUGCGGAAGGAUCAUUAAUAAAUAGUGUAUUAUGGAGCUUUUUCGAUCAAUAUCCACCUUGUGCACAAUGUAAGUCGUUCACACACAUGGGAAUGACCACAAAUUAAACCACUCCUUAACUCCUUGUUUGAAAAAUACUACGGAUAACAUAAUUCUAAAUACAACUUUUAACAACGGAUUUCUUGGUUUUUGCAUUGUUGAAGAACGCAGAAGAUAGGCAGCGUACAAGCCUGAACUCCUGUCAUGCAUCGUCAAUUCAUAAGC
Molecule: unclassified non-coding RNA, 279 nt
Filed under: plant metagenome
Description: partial contains small subunit ribosomal RNA, internal transcribed spacer 1, and 5.8S ribosomal RNA
Source: RNAcentral